AACGAACGCUGGCGGCAUGCCUAACACAUGCAAGUCGAACGAGACCUUCGGGUCUAGUGGCGCACGGGUGCGUAACGCGUGGGAACCUGCCCUUAGGUUCGGAAUAACUCCCCGAAAGGGGUGCUAAUACCGGAUAAUGUCUUCGGACCAAAGAUUUAUCGCCUUUGGAUGGGCCCGCGUUGGAUUAGCUAGUUGGUAGGGUAAAAGCCUACCAAGGCGACGAUCCAUAGCUGGUCUGAGAGGAUGAUCAGCCACACUGGGACUGAGACACGGCCCAGACCCCCACGGGAGGGAGGAGGGGGGAAAAUGGGAAAAGGGGGGAAAGCCUAACCCAACAAAGCCGGGUGGGGGAGGAAGGCCUUAGGGUUGUAAAACCCUUUUACCCGGGAUGAAAAAGAAAGUACCGGGGAAAAAAACCCCGGCUAACUCCGG
Molecule: ribosomal RNA, 432 nt
Filed under: uncultured bacterium
Lineage: Bacteria
Description: partial 16S ribosomal RNA
Rfam family: Bacterial small subunit ribosomal RNA
Source: RNAcentral